This 207-nucleotide ribosomal RNA is filed under the name uncultured bacterium. RNAcentral's name for it is "partial 16S ribosomal RNA". It matches the Rfam family "Bacterial small subunit ribosomal RNA", at positions 1287 to 1500 of the family's 1533-position model. The record is from RNAcentral.
CUCAGUUCGGAUUGGAGUCUGCAACCCGACUCCAUGAAGCUGGAUUCGCUAGUAAUCGCGCAUCAGCCACGGCGCGGUGAAUACGUUCCCGGGCCUUGUACACACCGCCCGUCAAGCCAUGGAAGCCGGGAGUGCCUGAAGUACGCGACCGCAAGGAGCGUCCUAAGGUAAAAACCGGUGACUGGGGCUAAGUCGUAACAAGGUACC